RNAcentral lists this ribosomal RNA (447 nucleotides) under uncultured Planctomyces sp. Its description in RNAcentral is "bacterial SSU rRNA". It matches the Rfam family "Bacterial small subunit ribosomal RNA", at positions 338 to 795 of the family's 1533-position model. Lineage: Bacteria; Pseudomonadati; Planctomycetota; Planctomycetia; Planctomycetales; Planctomycetaceae. The record is from RNAcentral.
CCUACGGGUGGCUGCAGUCGAGAAUCUUCGGCAAUGGGCGCAAGCCUGACCGAGCGACGCCGCGUGCGGGAUGAAGGCCCUUGGGUUGUAAACCGCUGUCAGGGGGGAGCAAGGCGUAAGCUUGAGCGAGCCCCAGAGGAAGCACGGGCUAAGUUCGUGCCAGCAGCCGCGGUAAUACGAACUGUGCGAACGUUAUUCGGAAUCACUGGGCUUACAGGGUGCGUAGGCGGCCUUUCAAGUCAGGUGUGAAAUCCCCCAGCUCAACUGGGGAACUGCGCUUGAAACUGGAGGGCUGGAGGCAACUAGAGGUGCAUGGAACUUCCGGUGGAGCGGUGAAAUGUGUUGAUAUCGGAAGGAACACCAGAGGCGAAAGCGAUGCACUGGGGUUGUUCUGACGCUGAGGCACGAAAGCCAGGGGAGCGAACGGGAUUAGAUACCCGUGUAGUC